AGCAGCCGCGGUAAUUCCAGCUCCAAUAGCGUAUAUUAAAGUUGUUGCAGUUAAAAAGCUCGUAGUUGAAUUUCGGGAUCAAUAUGUCGGUCGUGCCUUCGGUACGUACUGGUAUCAUUGGUCUCUCCUUUCUGACGAACCAUGAUGUCAUUAAUUUGGUGUUAUGGGGAGUUAGGACUGUUACUUUGAAAAAUUAGAGUGUUUAAAGCAGGCUUUAGCUUGAAUACAUUAGCAUGGAAUAAUGAAAUAGGACGUUCGAACCUAUUUUGUUGGUUUCUAGGAUCAACGUAAUGAUUAAUAGGGAUAGUUGGGGGCAUUAGUAUUCAAUUGUCAGAGGUGAAAUUCUUGGAUUUAUUGAAGACUAACUGACUGCGAAAGCAUUUGCCAAGGAUGUUUUCAUUAAUCAAGAACGAAAGUUAGGGGAUCGAAGACGAUCAGAUACCGUCGUAGUCU
This 453-nucleotide ribosomal RNA is filed under the name uncultured Glomus. RNAcentral's name for it is "SSU rRNA". It matches the Rfam family "Eukaryotic small subunit ribosomal RNA", at positions 569 to 1026 of the family's 1831-position model. Lineage: Eukaryota; Fungi; Glomeromycota; Glomeromycetes; Glomerales; Glomeraceae. The record is from RNAcentral.